Molecule: ribosomal RNA, 216 nt
Filed under: Glomeromycotina sp.
Lineage: Eukaryota; Fungi; Glomeromycota
Description: partial small subunit ribosomal RNA
Rfam family: Eukaryotic small subunit ribosomal RNA (bases 40-216)
Source: RNAcentral
GGGUCAGUAGGUUGGUCGUGCCACCGGUACGUACUGGUCUCACUGAUUCCUCCCUCCUGAUGAACCGUAAUGCCAUUAAUUUGGUGUUGCGGGGAAACAGGACUGUUACUUUGAGAAAAUUAGAGUGUUUAAAGCAAGCUAACGCUUGGAUACAUUAGCAUGGAAUAAUGAAAUAGGACGAUCGAUCCUAUUUUGUUGGUUUCUAGGAUUGACGUA